ACGGUCCUAAGGUAGCGAAAUUCCUUGUCGGGUAAGUUCCGACCUGCACGAAUGGCAUAAUGAUGGCCAGGCUGUCUCCACCCGAGACUCAGUGAAAUUGAAAUCGCCGUGAAGAUGCGGUGUACCCGCGGCUAGACGGAAAGACCCCGUGAACCUUUACUAUAGCUUGACACUGAACAUUGAAUUUUGAUGUGUAGGAUAGGUGGGAGACUUUGAAGUAGUCACGCCAGUGAUUAUGGAGUCGUCCUUGAAAUACCACCCUUUAACGUUUGAUGUUCUAACGAAGAUUGCGAAACGCGGUCUCGGACAGUGUCUGGUGGGUAGUUUGACUGGGGCGGUCUCCUCCCAAAGCGUAACGGAGGAGCACGAAGGUUUGCUAAUCACGGUCGGACAUCGUGAGGUUAGUGCAAUGGUAUAAGCAAGCUUAACUGCGAGACAGACAAGUCGAGCAGGUACGAAAGUAGGUCAUAGUGAUCCGGUGGUUCUGCAUGGAAGGGCCAUCGCUCAACGGAUAAAAGGUACUCCGGGGAUAACAGGCUGAUACCGCCCAAGAGUUCAUAUCGACGGCGGUGUUUGGCACCUCGAUGUCGGCUCAUCUCAUCCUGGGGCUGUAGCCGGUCCCAAGGGUAUGGCUGUUCGCCAUUUAAAGAGGUACGUGAGCUGGGUUUAAAACGUCGUGAGACAGUUUGGUCCCUAUCUGCUGUGGGCGUUGGAGAUUUGACGGGGGCUGCUCCUAGUACGAGAGGACCGGAGUGGACACACCUCUGGUGUACCUGUUGUCACGCCAGUGGCAUCGCAGGGUAGCUAAGUGUGGAAGAGAUAACCGCUGAAAGCAUCUAAGCGGGAAACUUGCCUGAAGAUGAGAUCUCCCUGGGGACUCGAUCCCCCUGAAGGGUCGUCCAAGACCAGGACGUUGAUAGGCCGGGUGUGGAAGCGCAGUAAUGCGUGCAGCUAACCGGUACUAAUUGCCCGUGAGGCUUGACCCU
RNAcentral lists this ribosomal RNA (986 nucleotides) under human oral metagenome. Its description in RNAcentral is "bacterial LSU rRNA". It matches the Rfam family "Bacterial large subunit ribosomal RNA", at positions 1945 to 2925 of the family's 2925-position model. The record is from RNAcentral.